Molecule: non-coding RNA, 538 nt
Filed under: Oryza barthii
Lineage: Eukaryota; Viridiplantae; Streptophyta; Magnoliopsida; Poales; Poaceae
Source: RNAcentral
AUCCUAUUUGCUAUAUGAACUUUUCAUUCUUGUUGAUCCUGUCCUGAAAUCUGCACCUAAUCUUUUGUUGCCUUAUGUUCGAGCGAAGCACGAAAAGCAAGUAGGUGCAGCAUGCCAGCAUCAGCAUGCCAUGCCAGCAACAGCAAGUAGGUAGGUAGUACCAACCUGUGCAUCCAAUCCAAGCUAGCAAAGUUCAUCCAAAACAAGCAGCCAGUGCCUAGUGGCACUGCGAGUCUGCAAAAUCCCAAACAUAAAAACCUUCAGAAAUCUCAACAGAAUUGAAUGGACAUCUGCCUACCUGCCUACCUGCCUUCCCUGCAAUCUUGGUUGGUUGCUGAUCAUAAUUCAUACGAAGCUGAAGCUCACAGAUCAGUACACACGUGUGGGUUCCAUGAGUCAUGGGGAAUGAAGCCUGGUCCGAAGCCACCGCCUGGGGACGGCGAUCUUCAGACCGGACGUCAUUCCUCUCAACAGCCAUGGAUCAUCAUCUCAGAACUUCAGAAGAUCCAAAAAAAAAAAUCAUAUCCCUGACAAAUUG